AUGGACUGGAGCUGGAGAAUCAUCUUCUUCAUCACAGCAGCUACAGGUGUCCACUCCAGGUACAAUUUGUGCAGUCUGGACCUGAGAUGUCCAAGCCUGGGACAUCAGUGAAAAUCUCCUGCAAGGCUUCUGGAUACACCUUCACAGACUAUGCUUUGCAAUGGGUGCUACAAACCCCAGGAGGAAGAUUAGAGUGGAUAGGAUACAUGAAUACUAAUAGUCAUGGAACAGGCUACGCACAAAAGUUCCAGGGCAGAGUCACCAUGACCAAAGACACAUCCUCAAGCACAGGCUACAUGGAGCUGAGAAAUCUGAGCCCUGAUGACACGGCCACCUAUUACUGUGCAAGAUACACAGUGUGA
Elephantulus edwardii (Cape elephant shrew) is the source of this 362-nucleotide non-coding RNA. NCBI's taxonomy places the organism in Eukaryota, Metazoa, Chordata, Mammalia, Macroscelidea, Macroscelididae. The record is from the annotation of a RefSeq genome assembly.